Molecule: transfer RNA, 68 nt
Filed under: Gibbosula crassa
Lineage: Eukaryota; Metazoa; Mollusca; Bivalvia; Unionida; Margaritiferidae
Description: tRNA-Leu
Source: RNAcentral
AACGAGUUAGUAUAAUUAAUACCACCGAUUUAGAAUCGGUAAAAAAGACCUAAUACCCUUACCCGUUA